UACAGAGGGUGCGAGCGUUGUCCGGAAUCACUGGGCGUAAAGGGCGCGUAGGCGGUGGCUUAAGCGUGCGGUGAAAGCCCGGGGCUCAACCCCGGGUCGGCCGUGCGAACUGGGCCACUGGAGCAGAUCAGAGGCAGGCGGAAUUCCGGGUGUAGCGGUGGAAUGCGUAGAGAUCCGGAAGAACACCGGUGGCGAAGGCGGCCUGCUGGGAUCUUGCUGACGCUGAGGCGCGACAGCGUGAGGAGCAAACAGG
This 253-nucleotide ribosomal RNA is filed under the name uncultured bacterium. Its description in RNAcentral is "partial 16S ribosomal RNA". It matches the Rfam family "Bacterial small subunit ribosomal RNA", at positions 524 to 776 of the family's 1533-position model. The record is from RNAcentral.